UAUCCUGUUAGCUUAAGUAAAGCAUAAGACUCUUAAUUUUAAGUUGAUAAUAAUUUAUCACAGGAUAA
Molecule: transfer RNA, 68 nt
Filed under: Ophiarachnella infernalis
Lineage: Eukaryota; Metazoa; Echinodermata; Ophiuroidea; Amphilepidida; Ophiodermatidae
Description: tRNA-Lys
Rfam family: tRNA
About the family: Transfer RNA (tRNA) molecules are approximately 80 nucleotides in length. Their secondary structure includes four short double-helical elements and three loops (D, anti-codon, and T loops).
Source: RNAcentral